UUUUGAGCAAACAUCCAACUUAUAGCAGACUCAUUCUGGCUGCUGUGUUGAAAAUAAAAUGAGGCAGAGCUGGAGCCAAAGCAGGAAAAUCUGGGAGGAGGCUAUUUUAACCAUCCACGCGAGAGAUGAUGCUGGUCUGCUUGAGUUUCCUGGAGGUCCACUCCAGACCCUAUUUGCCUGGAUAUCACCAGCAGAGGCUGCAGAACAGCAAAGAUUGCUGCUUGCUCCUUCCUGUGGAAGCUUCAUCCCAGAGGGGCACCCACCUGAUGCCAGCCAGAGCUCUCCUGUAUGAGCCUUUCUUUCAGAGAUGCCCUGCUCAGUAAGGAGGAAUCUAGAGAGGCAGUCUGACAACAGCUGCUUUGCCACACUGUGAAACUUCUUUAAAUGAUACUUACAGACCUGCAAUUCCUUAUCUGCAGUUAUGAAAUCCAUAAACAAAAAGCUUGAAAACCAA
This 454-nucleotide long non-coding RNA is filed under the name Homo sapiens (human). RNAcentral describes it as "HSALNT0369587". Lineage: Eukaryota; Metazoa; Chordata; Mammalia; Primates; Hominidae. The record is from RNAcentral.